RNAcentral lists this unclassified non-coding RNA (376 nucleotides) under soil metagenome. RNAcentral describes it as "partial contains 5.8S ribosomal RNA, internal transcribed spacer 2, and large subunit ribosomal RNA". The stretch from base 1 to 120 matches the Rfam family "5.8S ribosomal RNA", at positions 35 to 154 of the family's 154-position model. The record is from RNAcentral.
GAUGAAGAACGUAGCGAAAUGCGAUAAGUAAUGUGAAUUGCAGAAUUCAGUGAAUCAUCGAAUCUUUGAACGCAUCUUGCGCUCCUUGGUAUUCUGAGGAGCAUGCCUGUUUGAGUGUCAUUAAAUUCUCAACUACACUGACUUUGAAUUGGUGUGGCUUGGAUUUGGGGAGAAAAUUGUUGUGGGCUUUUUGUAUAGUCUGCUCCCCUGAAAUUGAUUAGCGGUACCUUUGUGGAACUGUCUACAGGUGUGAUAAUUAUCUACAUCUUAGACAUCUGCUGGAAUGCUGCUCUCUAAACCUUACUUGUAUUGACAAUCUUGACCUCAAAUCAGGUAGGACUACCCGCUGAACUUAAGCAUAUCAAUAAGCGGAGGA